This 1295-nucleotide long non-coding RNA is filed under the name Lactuca sativa (garden lettuce). RNAcentral describes it as "long non-coding RNA (LSAT_LNC008376)". The record is from RNAcentral. Lineage: Eukaryota; Viridiplantae; Streptophyta; Magnoliopsida; Asterales; Asteraceae.
AUAGAGAAUCCAUAUCACAAAAACUCACAUUUACACAAAACAUAUAAAAUACAUAUCAUCGGAGCAGAUAUGUGUUGAUAUGCUUAACACGAACACUUUCUAACAUAGGCGUCUUGAAUAUCAAUUGCUUUCUUCACACAAAUACCCUCUAGAGAUGCAACAAAUACCAAACAAUAAACAAAAUAAAUCAGAUGUAAAUAAAACAUUAUACCAAGAAAAACAAUAAGAAUACAAGGCAUCAUAGAUAAGAAUUACAACAUGAAUAAAUUCAGACAUAUGCUUGUCAUUGUGUAAGAUUUUCUUAAUCACUUGCCAAGAAAAAAUGAAAUUGAACAAACAGAUAAAAAAGCAUAAAAAAACAGUAAAUUGGGAUUCAGUUUAUGGGUGGUGAUAUAACAGAGUGGUCGGCAAGGUGAUUAUUCAUCACCAUUACGACGAACGAGACCUUAUCACAUGUAGUCGUCAUUAUCCCUUUUCAAUCGAUUUAAAACUUAUAAAUAAAUAAAAAGGAACGAAUUUUAGGGUUCAUCAGAUAGGAGCGAAAGACUAAAAAGAUGUUUAAUCACAGAGUAUCAUUUGAACUAUGCAAAAUCAUCACUUGAACCUCUCAAUUUCCACAAACAGAUUAAAAAAAAAAUCAAAACGCCUCAGAAGGAAGGCAGUAUUUUGUGUAAUCAUGAUUUAUCAUUCUUACGCAAACAUCAAUACAAUCAUCAUUGGCUGGGGAAAAAACAAAAAAAGGUUAAAAAUUUAAUGGCCUCAUAGAGAAGAUUAGAUUUAACAACAUGGUUUAGUUCAGACAUAUGCUUGUCUUUGAUUUAGAAUUUAAUCAUCGGCCAAUUUCAGGGAAAAAAAUAAAAACUGAAAUCACUAAGAACAUAGAAUAAGAAGCAGAUGAUAAUCAAAGAAAAAGAUUUGCGCAAAACUUUCAUGGAAGAAGGAAAACAGUGGACUCAGUUUAUGGGUGGUGAUAUAACAGUUUGGUCGGCAAGGUGAUUUGCAUCACCAUUACGACGAACGAGACCUUAUCACAUGGAGUCGUCAUAGCCCUUUUAAUGAAAAAACUGAAAACCUAGUAAAAACGAUUCGAUCAAAUUGGAUAAGAACAAAACCAAAUCGAAAAUUAAAAAUGGGGAAAAACCAUAACAGAAUGAUCUAACCUUCGAUCAGAAAACCUAAUCAAUAAACCCUAGAUGUUAUAGUAAACAGAGAAGAGCGAUGAGAUUUGAUUGAUUAUGCGUUUCUACUUAUAGAAUGAUUCUAGGGUUUGGUUGCAGCUAAGAACUCGAAUCGGG